UACGUAGGUGGCAAGCGUUGUCCGGAUUUACUGGGCGUAAAGGGAGCGUAGGCGGUUUUUUAAGUGGGGUGUGAAAUCCCUGGGCUUAACCCAGGAAUUGCAUUCCAAACUGGAAGACUAGAGUGCAGGAGAGGAAAGUGGAAUUCCAAGUGUAGCGGUGAAAUGCGUAGAGAUUUGGAGGAACACCAGUGGCGAAGGCGACUUUCUGGACUGUAACUGACGCUGAGGCUCGAGAGCGUGGGGAGCAAACAGG
This 253-nucleotide non-coding RNA is filed under the name uncultured bacterium. Its description in RNAcentral is "partial 16S ribosomal RNA". It matches the Rfam family "Bacterial small subunit ribosomal RNA", at positions 524 to 776 of the family's 1533-position model. The record is from RNAcentral. RNAcentral also lists the same sequence under 1 other name.